GACGAACGCUGGCGGCGUGCUUAACACAUGCAAGUCGAACGAUGAAGCCCAGCUUGCUGGGUGGAAGAGUGGCGAACGGGUGAGUAACACGUGAGUAACCUGCCCUGAACUCAGGGAUAAGCACUGGAAACGGUGUCUAAUACUGGAUACGACCUAUCACCGCAUGGUGUGUGGGUGGAAAGAUUUAUCGGUUCUGGAUGGACUCGCGGCCUAUCAGCUAGAUGGUGAGGUAAUGGCUCACCAUGGCGACGACGGGUAGCCGGCCUGAGAGGGUGACCGGCCACACUGGGACUGAGACACGGCCCAGACUCCUACGGGAGGCAGCAGUGGGGAAUAUUGCACAAUGGGCGCAAGCCUGAUGCAGCAACGCCGCGUGAGGGAUGACGGCCUUCGGGUUGUAAACCUCUUUUAGUAGGGAAGAAGCGAAAGUGACGGUACCUGCAGAAAAAGCACCGGCUAACUACGUG
Molecule: ribosomal RNA, 467 nt
Filed under: uncultured bacterium
Lineage: Bacteria
Description: partial 16S ribosomal RNA
Rfam family: Bacterial small subunit ribosomal RNA
Source: RNAcentral